GUAUUUGAUGCAGUAUGAUCUAUUGUUAUAGGUAUCUAAAAAUGGAUCCCACCAGAACACAAAGACUAAGUCUAUGAGGAAAAUAAAGUUUUAGAUCAACGACUAAAAAUUGUCAUGAACAGAUAAAAUAUGAGAUAGAGAUAGAACUGGUAUGAAAGGUGACAGUAGAACAUUGACAUAAUUUGAAAGGUAGGUAUAUAUAUAUAUAGUUUUACACUCAAUUAUGAUUUUUUUAAAGUAAGUAUUUGCAAUUAUUCCUAUAAUUUUAUUUCAAUAUCAUGAAAUGUUGUAGUGUGUUCAUAUGACAACAAACCAACAACGAGCAAAUUCAAAAGAAUAAAGAGUAGAAAUACAAUUCUUCAACAAUUGAAAGAUAUCAUUAAAGUUAACAAAAAAGUCUACGGGAAGUACAUAUUCGUACACACAACUUCUCAUUUAACUGUUUCACAGAUUGCAUUGAUAUUGUGCUCGAAUAAUCAGAUUAUAUUAAUACAUAUGUGUUUUGUGCCGAUCCAAAGAUGUCAGAGUGUUACAGCAGGACAUAGUUGAACUUAGAAACCUAAAGGAAAUAUAAACAAACAUCUCCUUCUCUGUAACCGAAUAACAGAUUUAAAAAAUAGUAUAUAUUAUAAUCUAGAAUUUCCACUGGUACUAAUAAUGAAAAAAUUCACAAAAAGAAUACUUUUUAUUAUUUUUUUAAACUAUUGCAUAGUGUAUAAAAUAAUAAAAAGUUGUAGGAUUGUCACUGAGACAACUAUCCACCAAAUUUGAGACGAUGUGAAUGUGAACAAAUAAUAUACAACUGUGCAGACUUCAACAAUGAGAAAACCCAUACCGUAUUGUCGGCUACAAAAGACCAUGACAUAAAACAAUAUAUGAAACAAUUUAAUUUAGAAAAAUUAACGACCUAAUUUAUAACAAAACAAAUUAAAAAUGUUAAAAGUGCAGCCCGUAUUGAAAACAUGGAGAUUUGCCAUGAACCCAGACUUGGGACGCUAAAAUUCUUCUCCAAAUCGUAUAAGAUCAGGCCCUGAAGUCAUAAAAAAAUUUCUCAGUGCCCGGAGAAAAAAAAUCGUGGUCGAAAAUUGAAAUCCAGCAUUUUGAUUGGUUGAUUUGUUGAUUUUGGAGUUUGAGUAAAUAACUGACUCGAAAGUUUUUAAAAUGACUUCAAGGCCAGUUUUCAAGUAGGUAAAUCAAACAUUGUUCCAUUUUUUUCUUUCAUUUUUCUCCCUGUAUAAUAUAAACCUUGUAUAAUUAACGUUAUACCACCUUUAGCAAUGCAUGUACACUGAUUCACAUUAUGUCAUGGUUGACCUAGUAUGUUUAAUCUUAUUAUUGGACUUUAACAAAAUGAUAAAUGUUAUAAUCCACUUUUUCCUUUCCAGAAACAAGUUGGCAAAGAUAUAUAUCACAUGCAUAGGAAGAGC
This 1427-nucleotide long non-coding RNA is filed under the name Mytilus galloprovincialis (Mediterranean mussel). The record is from RNAcentral. Lineage: Eukaryota; Metazoa; Mollusca; Bivalvia; Mytilida; Mytilidae.